Molecule: long non-coding RNA, 566 nt
Filed under: Homo sapiens (human)
Lineage: Eukaryota; Metazoa; Chordata; Mammalia; Primates; Hominidae
Description: HSALNT0334143
Source: RNAcentral
UGGGAGCUGUAGUACGCUCCCUGUGCCCACUUUCCUGGGCCGGGGUAGCGCUCUAGGGCAGAAGGGUAAACUCAGACACAAGGAGGGCUCUUAGAAAUGUGUGAGGAGACUGGUGAUCAGGCAAGGAUAUUAAAGGAAGAGAAUGUGGGGCUGAGAAAAGUUAUCUAUUGCUCAAUUGGACCUCUCCAGUUUCUGUGAGACAAUGUCCUUUUCCAUGAAAUUUUGAGGUCACCUUGUAUCUUUUAAGUGCUGAGAGAAGGACCCAGUGAGCCCGGAGUCUGGAGCAGAGCAGGCCACCUGUGAUGGCAAAGGAGAGUUCUGUUCCAGGCUGAACAUAGCAUACAGCAAGUGGAUGAUGUCCAAGGCAAUUCCUGGGUCUAGAAAUCCAUCAAGAAUGAUGCCUGGAGUCCAGAUCAGAGGAUCCUGAAUCAUCUGCCCUUUUCUCAAAGUGAGGAACAAAGCAGUGAGACUUGGCUCUCUAGUUGUUUUUCUCCUACCCAGCCUCAAACCUGGCCAUGUCUCAGAAUUAAGCACUGGAAAAGAGAAGAAGCACAACUCACUUUGGU